AUGGCAGUGGUAGCACCAGCACGACCCUCAGCGGGAAGGCAAAAAAAAGCUUUCAAUGAUUACUCUGAUUUGGCUAGAGCCGCACAUCCUGAUGAUUGGGAGCAGCGAGAGUUGGAUGGGCAAAUAUUAUAUGAAUCAUUAGGUGGCAUUCCCCAUGGGCGACUAGCAAUAGCAGGUGAGGCAAUCAAGAAGGCUGAUGUUAUCUCAACGGCUAGAGAAAAGAAAUUGAGGCUGUCAACUUCAGCAGCACAUCAACGAACUGUUCAAGAAAAUGAAGAGCUGAAGCGACAUAAUGAGAACCUGCAGCGACAUAAUGAGAACCUGCAACAUAAAGUUGAUAUGCAUGAACGAAUCCUAGUGGCCCUUUUUAAGGAGAUGGGAAAAGAACUACCAGCGGAGCUACGCCAAGGAGCGAGUUCCCAACCACAUGGGACACCUAAUUCAUCUCAUAUGAAACCCCAAGCCGCCGAUGACAACACUGGUGAUGAUGAUUUGGGUACAAAUGGUGGUGCUGACAACUCCAGUGGGAAUACCAGUGACCAGGCCAUCGACGCAACUAACCUUUGCACAACUAACGUUGGCAGUGCCUUUUGUUGA
Molecule: ribosomal RNA, 597 nt
Filed under: Triticum aestivum (bread wheat)
Lineage: Eukaryota; Viridiplantae; Streptophyta; Magnoliopsida; Poales; Poaceae
Description: partial small subunit ribosomal RNA
Source: RNAcentral